ACCGAGUACGGGUGCAAAUUCACCAAGUACAGGGUGAAAAUUGACCGAGAAAGGGGUGAAUAUUGACCGAGUACAGGUGCAAUUCACAUUUCACCAUUCAGCACAUCUGUACAGUUUAGAAAUGGAAAGUAAGGUUUUAAAGAUUUAGUUAAGAUGGUCA
Molecule: long non-coding RNA, 160 nt
Organism: Magnolia sinica
Lineage: Eukaryota; Viridiplantae; Streptophyta; Magnoliopsida; Magnoliales; Magnoliaceae
Exons: 3
Source: RefSeq, a predicted model, not a curated record